GUGGGGAAUAUUGCACAAUGGGGGAAACCCUGAUGCAGCGACGCCGCGUGAGUGAAGAAGUAUUUCGGUACGUAAAGCUCUAUCAGCAAGGAAGAAAAUGACGGUACUUGACUAAGAAGCCCCGGCUAACUACGUGCCAGCAGCCGCGGUAAUACGUAGGGGGCAAGCGUUAUCCGGAUUUACUGGGUGUAAAGGGAGCGUAGACGGUAUGGUAAGUCAGAUGUGAAAGCCCGGGGCUCAACCCCGGGACUGCAGUGGAAACUAUCAGACUAGAGUGCAGGAGCGGUAAGUGGCAGUCCUAGUGUAGCGGUGAAAUGCGUAGAUAUUAGGAGGAACAGCAGUGGCGAAGGCGGCUUACAGGACUGUAACUGACGGUGAGGCUCGAGAGCGUGGGGAGCAAACAGGAUUAGAAACCCCGGUAGUCC
RNAcentral lists this ribosomal RNA (425 nucleotides) under uncultured bacterium. Its description in RNAcentral is "partial 16S ribosomal RNA". It matches the Rfam family "Bacterial small subunit ribosomal RNA", at positions 354 to 796 of the family's 1533-position model. The record is from RNAcentral.